UAAAUGACAUAAGAGGUAGUGAAAAAACAUUUAGUUGUUAGUGUAAAAAUGAACAAAUACAUCACAAUUAUUUAUAAAAUAACAUUAGAAGUAUUUACAUUAUUACAUUUAGUUGAUUGGGGAUACAAAUUAAAUCUUUAGAAAAAUGGAAAAAGAAAAGGGAAAAAGCAAGACUUUUUAUUUUUGAAAAAAAAAAGUAAUGAACGGUAGAGAUUAAAAUUGGUAUCCGAAUGCGUAACCAUAAUUUCCCCCUUCUUCUUCUUCCCGCCACGAGAGUUCCGUUCCAAUCUCGCGUGUCAUCAGCGUAGAAUAGAAUGGAGUUAACGUUGAGCGAUAACUCUCUGAAAACCUUUGCACGAUGCAUCACGUGCCUCGCACGUAUCGGCAACGAGCUCGCUAUUCAAGCCUCUUCCUCUCAGCUUCUUUUCCACACUAUCAAUUCAUCACGAUCUGCAUAUCAAUCCAUUACUUUCAAACCUAGCUUCUUUGACGUCUUCAAAGUUUCAAGUACUCCUCUACAAUGUAGUGUGCUUCUGAAGGCUGUUUGUUCUGUUCUUAGGACACCUAUUGCAAAUAUUGAUCAUUUGACUGUGAAAAUGCCUGAUCCAGAUGCUCCCAAAGUUCAGUGGAUUCUAGAUUGCUACAGUGGUAUGAGAAAAACCUAUUGGAUUACUUGCAAUGUUGAACCUGACAUACAACACUUGUCCCUUGAUAGGCAAAAAUUUCCCAGCAACUUUGUAGUGAGACCUCGAGAUCUGAACAGGUUACUUGCUAAUUUUCAGUCAUCUCUUCAAGAAAUCACUAUCAUUGCAACAGAACCUGCUUCUUUACCUCCUGAUUCUGCAAAUGAAAUUGGUGGAAAGGCUGUUGAACUUCGUAGUUAUAUUGACCCAACCAAAGACAAUGAUUCACUGCUACACACCCAACUGUGGAUAGACCCUAAAGAGGAAUUUUUGCAGUAUGAUCAUACCGGGGACCCAGUAGAUGUGACUUUCAGUGUAAAAGAACUGAAGGCAUUUCUUUCAUUUUGUGAGGGCUGUGAGAUUGAUAUCCAUUUACAUUUUGAGAAAACUGGCGAGCCAAUUCUCAUGGCACCUAAAUUUGGUUUGGAAGAUGGGUCCCACUCAAAUUUUGAUGCUACCCUUGUACUAGCAACCAUGUUAACAUCUCAGCUUCAUGAAGGUGCUACAUCAGAACCUCUAGUCGUGCCUAACAGAACGCAUGCUCGAACUGGAGAAAGAAAUGAAUCUCCCUUGCAGCAAGAGAACUGCAGAACGAAUGCAUCUGAGCUUCCAUCUGACCACACCCGUAUUUGGUCAGACCUCUCAGCAACUGCAGUUAAAAAUCUUAGUGCUUUGGAAGAAAGGCAAGCACAAGAAGAAACAACUUUGAAUGAUAAUGAACAAAUAGAAAUUCAAAGGAUUAGUACAGUGCGAAUUUCAAGAGGAAAUUCAGUUGCAGGAAAUAAUCCCAUUGAUUCCAGUUUCCGCCAACCAACUGAAAAUGAUCAUGUACAAGAUCCUCAAGUGGUUUCACAACAUCAUCCUAGUAACUGGGUAGAUGCUGAAGAGGAUGACGAUGAUGAUACAGAUGAGGAUGAGCAGUACAUUCAGCCAACACCGCCAUACUAUGACGAGCAAUAAUUCAGAGGAAUUCCAUUGUAAUGGCUCUUUAUCUUGAAAAAAUAUUGUUUGGAGGACUUUGCCUUUGGUUCUUAUUGAUAGUUAAAGCUAGUUUGGUUGACUAUAUGGAGGCAAGAGAACUAGUCUCGGACCACUAACCAGCCACCAAACCCAUUCAGAAGGAUAAGGAAGUAGCUAAUAAAUUAUUUUACAUUUGAAUAUCAGGAUUUCCUGCAAGAUUAGUGAUAUUUGUUCGACUAAAUAAGACAUUAAGACUUGUUCAGCGGGUUUAUACCAAAUUUCUGAAAGUCAAUUUGAGAUUGGUUUGCUGCAUUCUAAUUUUCCUCUGAUAUGAAUAUAGGUUUUUUCUUCUCAAAAUCUUUCUGCAUAUAUUAGGAUGAGUUGCUCCUAGAAAAUUAUUGAAUACUACUAAUACCUUAAUUCCAAAACUUUAGUUGUUUAAGCAUUUUAGUUUUGUUUCAAAAUCUUGAGUGAUGUAGAAAUUGAAGACAUACUGUAUUUGACCUUUUUCUUUUAAAUAGAUC
Non-coding RNA from Cicer arietinum (chickpea), 2167 nucleotides. NCBI's taxonomy places the organism in Eukaryota, Viridiplantae, Streptophyta, Magnoliopsida, Fabales, Fabaceae. The record is from RefSeq and is a predicted model, not a curated record.